AUUGAACGCUGGCGGCAUGCCUUACACAUGCAAGUCGAACGGCAGCACGGGUGCUUGCACCUGGUGGCGAGUGGCGAACGGGUGAGUAAUACAUCGGAACAUGUCCUGUAGUGGGGGAUAGCCCGGCGAAAGCCGGAUUAAUACCGCAUACGAUCUACGGAUGAAAGCGGGGGCCCUUCGGGCCUCGCGCUAUAGGGUUGGCCGAUGGCUGAUUAGCUAGUUGGGGGGGUAAAGGCCUACCAAGGCGACGAUCAGUAGCUGGUCUGAGAGGACGACCAGCCACACUGGGACUGAGACACGGCCCAGACUCCUACGGGAGGCAGCAGUGGGGAAUUUUGGACAAUGGGCGAAAGCCUGAUCCAGCAAUGCCGCGUGUGUGAAGAAGGCCUUCGGGUUGUAAAGCACUUUUGUCCGGAAAGAAAUCCUUGGCCCUAAUACGGUCGGGGGAUGACGGUACCGGAAGAAUAAGCACCGGCUAACUACGUG
This 486-nucleotide ribosomal RNA is filed under the name uncultured bacterium. RNAcentral describes it as "partial 16S ribosomal RNA". It matches the Rfam family "Bacterial small subunit ribosomal RNA", at positions 30 to 507 of the family's 1533-position model. The record is from RNAcentral.